This 301-nucleotide ribosomal RNA is filed under the name uncultured bacterium. Its description in RNAcentral is "partial 16S ribosomal RNA". It matches the Rfam family "Bacterial small subunit ribosomal RNA", at positions 509 to 807 of the family's 1533-position model. The record is from RNAcentral.
CAGUCGCCGCGGGAAUACGGAGGGCGCGAGCGUUACCCGGAUUUACUGGGCGUAAAGCGCACGUAGGCGGAUCGAUCAGUCAGGGGUGAAAUCCUGGAGCUCAACUCCAGAACUGCCUUUGAUACUGUCGAUCUCGAGUCCGGAAGAGGUGAGUGGAACUCCUAGUGUAGAGGUGGAAUUCGUAGAUAUUAGGAAGAACACCAGUGGCGAAGGCGGCUCACUGGUCCGGUACUGACGCUGAGGUGCGAGAGCGUGGGGAGCAAACAGGAUUAGAUACCCCUGUAGUCCCUGUCUCUUAUAC